UGUUCAGCAAGGACAGGCUUACUAGCUAUCAUUUUAGUCUUGUUGGGUGAACGUACUAAGGGCUUAUUUGUGUGCUAUAGGGUCCUCCAGGUCAAUGGAUGGUGGCAGAUGUUCAAUCAUACCAGUGGAAAACAGAACGGACCAGUGGAAAACAGAAUGGACCAGUGGAAAACAGAAGGUGCCCCUCUAGCCUUGAGAAGAGGGAGGAGUGCCUGAGUGCUGGUGGACAGGGGUCUGCUCUGCUGCAAAUAGGCAUCCACUUCGUCAAAGUGGGAGCCUGAGCCCUGGCAGAGUUUUCCAAUGUGUGCCUACCCCCAAAACUUCAGGCACAGGAUGAGGGAGGGAGCAACGUUGACUGUUUUGAGAAACUACAAGUUGUUGAUGGCAAUUCUGAUAUCUCCGAUAGUUGUUGCUGCUUCUCCACCCAACACAGCAGGCCACUGGUCUCCUGGACAGGCACGAGUUCAUUCAGUGGAGGGUUCUGAGGAGGCCUUUCUCUGCACAGCCUCUGGUUUGAAAAAUCCAGCUUCCACUUGGCCCCCAUACUCAUCUCACCAGCCCUUUCCUUUGGCAAAUUCAACCAACAGACUUUUUUGAAAUUGGGAUUUCAUGCCCUUUUUGGAGAUAUCUGCAAGAAGGCCUUUGCCCCAUCAUCUCUUCUGGCAUCCACACAAUGGAGGGAAAUCUAAAUAUCUCUGCAAAUAAAAUGGUGGGAAAUUCAGAUGUCCCUGCUAUUCCCUCUCCUCCUUAAGCCAUGUCUCUCCUGCAACUUUCUCCUUUGCCCAGUUAGUAUCAGACACUCUGCUGGUCCAAUAGGAAGCAAUUUUAAGACAAGAGAUCAUUGUCAGCACCUCACCAAGUUGAGAGGGAGAAACAGAUGGCUCUGACAUCCCCAAAUGUACAGGAAAAGGAAAGAAACAAAUCCAAGGUUCUUCUCGCCUGUGGAGCAGAGUCAGAAGGAAUAGUUUCCACGAUAUGAAUCCUGCUUUCUCCCAGAAGCCAUCCUCUUCCUCUCUCCUGAUCCCCUCUCAGUGUGGCUCACACUUAAAAACUGUGAAACAGUUUGGUCCUUCUAACAGUAGGAAGGCAAGGAUUAGAAAUUUUAUGGCCCAAAACCAGGCUGUUGGCCUUGGAGAAUUUAGUAAUUUUAUUAACAAGGUUCUAUGUCCACUGUAUUUGCUACACUUGUCAACCUCUGGGGAUGGAAAAAGAUACUAGUAAUAACAGGCAACAUUUUGAAAUGGCACAAUCGCCACCUUAUAAUGCUCUGUUGCAUUAUUUUUCUAAGAUUGGAGGGAAAAAUAACCUUUUUUUUUUUCUUCAUCAAAACUGACCAUAGUCAAAUCUGCCUUCCAAGGUGGAAGAACAGGGAGAGGAAAUAAUUCACGUUACUGGGGAAAUCAUCGCUCUGCUGCCCUCUUUCAAUUGCAGAGACUGGUGGGCGACGAGGACAGACCUAAAGGCAAUGGUUUAGCGGAACAAGAGUACAUUCGUUUGUCUUGGGAGCUGUAGGAAGAUCCCCAGAGCAGAGACUGAGGAUAGGGUCUGUUUCCGUUUCUGCGGGGGAAGCUACUGAAGUAAAGAAGAGAGCAAAAAACGAUAACAGAAAAGCAACACUAUGGUGGCUGAUUUUCUUUCCAUUUACGAUGUUUGCUCUGCUACGAUCUCCACCUGUAUUCUCAAAUACGCAGUAAAGACUGCUUCACAGAAAUGCCCCCAGGAGGUGGGGUGUUUUGUUUUUUUUCAUACAAUUCAAAGAAAAGGGAAUAAGCAUGGUAUUUGGUUCAGCAUGGGGUAGAGAGAAGGGAACUUUCAUGGGGAUGAGAGGCUAGGACUAUGGAACGAGUUCUCCCAGGAAGUAGGAGCCAGCCCUGAACUGACAUUAAUCCCCAGAAAGAUGCAGAAAUCUUGGAGAAGACAGAGAACAGAGGGUCUGCAUUGACAUCUGGGUUUUAUUAUUAAAAAUAAAAUACUGUUGCUGUUCUUGGUAUUCUCUAUUAAGGGAGCCAAAGAGAACACACACGACACAGGUCCCAAUAGCAUUAAAGCCCCAUGGCCCCUAUAUCUGAGCCAGGCACUCGUGACAGGUAUCACUACCAGCUCUCUACCUGCCCCUAGCAAACACUUCCUUUUAUUCAAACUCAAGGUCACAUGGUGAAAAGCCUGGACAAUGAGGCUAUUUCCUGGGGCUGACAUAUGAGUAGCCAGGCUCACCCCAUGCCAGUUGCUACAAGUGGCUACUAAGGUUCUUCAAUCUUAAUCGAAUAGAGGGGGAGCAGCAGGUGCCCUCAAGAAGGCCCUUCCUCAUCCAGAAACUGAAAUCGGUCACAGAGCACGGUGGCUCCACAGAGUUGAGAAUAUCUGAGCUAAUGUGCACUAUUGUGGGGCAUGCGGACCCCGGGUCCUGCUGACCCACUGGGCAAGAAAACCUGUCCUGCCCCAUGGGACCAGCGCUGUGUGGCCUGCUUCUCUGUGUAGGAAGCAAAUUCAGUGGAAAGAACGUUGGCCCAUUACAGACGUAAAAUGUACUUACUU
Molecule: long non-coding RNA, 2535 nt
Organism: Myotis myotis
Lineage: Eukaryota; Metazoa; Chordata; Mammalia; Chiroptera; Vespertilionidae
Exons: 3
Source: RefSeq, a predicted model, not a curated record